UCCUGACUGACCGAUAGUGAACCAGUACCGUGAGGGAAAGGCGAAAAGAACCCCGGCGAGGGGAGUGAAAAAGAACCUGAAACCGUGUACGUACAAGCAGUGGGAGCACGCUUAGGCGUGUGACUGCGUACCUUUUGUAUAAUGGGUCAGCGACUUAUAUUCUGUAGCAAGGUUAACCGAAUAGGGGAGCCGAAGGGAAACCGAGUCUUAACUGGGCGUUAAGUUGCAGGGUAUAGACCCGAAACCCGGUGAUCUAGCCAUGGGCAGGUUGAAGGUUGGGUAACACUAACUGGAGGACCGAACCGACUAAUGUUGAAAAAUUAGCGGAUGACUUGUGGCUGGGGGUGAAAGGCCAAUCAAACCGGGAGAUAGCUGGUUCUCCCCGAAAGCUAUUUAGGUAGCGCCUCGUGAAUUCAUCUCCGGGGGUAGAGCACUGUUUCGGCAAGGGGGUCAUCCCGACUUACCAACCCGAUGCAAACUGCGAAUACCGGAGAAUGUUAUCACGGGAGACACACGGCGGGUGCUAACGUCCGUCGUGAAGAGGGAAACAACCCAGACCGCCAGCUAAGGUCCCAAAGUCAUGGUUAAGUGGGAAACGAUGUGGGAAGGCCCAGACAGCCAGGAUGUUGGCUUAGAAGCAGCCAUCAUUUAAAGAAAGCGUAAUAGCUCACUGGUCGAGUCGGCCUGCGCGGAAGAUGUAACGGGGCUAAACCAUGCACCGAAGCUGCGGCAGCGAUGCUUAUGCGUUGUUGGGUAGGGGAGCGUUCUGUAAGCCUGCGAAGGUGUGCUGUGAGGCAUGCUGGAGGUAUCAGAAGUGCGAAUGCUGACAUAAGUAACGAUAAAGCGGGUGAAAAGCCCGCUCGCCGGAAGACCAAGGGUUCCUGUCCAACGUUAAUCGGGGCAGGGUGAGUCGACCCCUAAGGCGAGGCCGAAAGGCGUAGUCGAUGGGAAACAGGUUAAUAUUCCUGUACUUGGUGUUACUGCGAAGGGGGGACGGAGAAGGCUAUGUUGGCCGGGCGACG
Molecule: ribosomal RNA, 1022 nt
Filed under: Shigella sonnei
Lineage: Bacteria; Pseudomonadati; Pseudomonadota; Gammaproteobacteria; Enterobacterales; Enterobacteriaceae
Description: partial 23S ribosomal RNA
Rfam family: Bacterial large subunit ribosomal RNA
Source: RNAcentral